Molecule: ribosomal RNA, 1350 nt
Filed under: Cyanobacterium aponinum KSU-WH-5
Lineage: Bacteria; Bacillati; Cyanobacteriota; Cyanophyceae; Chroococcales; Geminocystaceae
Description: bacterial SSU rRNA
Rfam family: Bacterial small subunit ribosomal RNA
Source: RNAcentral
UCGACGGGCUCUUCGGAGCUAGUGGCGGACGGGUGAGGAACGCGUGAGAACCUGCCUCAAGGUCGGGGACAACAGUUGGAAACGACUGCUAAUACCGGAUGAGCCGAAUAGGUAAAAGAUUUAUCGCCUAGAGAGGGGCUCGCGUCUGAUUAGCUAGAUGGUGAGGUAAAGGCUUACCAUGGCGACGAUCAGUAGCUGGUCUGAGAGGAUGAGCAGCCACACUGGGACUGAGACACGGCCCAGACUCCUACGGGAGGCAGCAGUGGGGAAUUUUCCGCAAUGGGCGAAAGCCUGACGGAGCAAUACCGCGUGAGGGAGGAAGGCUCUUGGGUUGUAAACCUCAAAACUUAGGGAAGAAAAAAAUGACGGUACCUAAUGUAAGCAUCGGCUAACUCCGUGCCAGCAGCCGCGGUAAUACGGAGGAUGCAAGCGUUAUCCGGAAUCAUUGGGCGUAAAGAGUCCGUAGGUGGCACUUCAAGUCUGCUUUCAAAGACCGAAGCUCAACUUCGGAAAGGGAGUGGAAACUGAAGAGCUAGAGUAUAGUAGGGGUAGAGGGAAUUCCUAGUGUAGCGGUGAAAUGCGUAGAGAUUAGGAAGAACACCAGUGGCGAAGGCGCUCUACUGGGCAUAUACUGACACUGAGGGACGAAAGCUAGGGGAGCGAAAGGGAUUAGAUACCCCUGUAGUCCUAGCGGUAAACGAUGGAUACUAGGCGUAGUGCUGUUAGAAGGACUGUGCCGAAGCUAACGCGUUAAGUAUCCCGCCUGGGGAGUACGCACGCAAGUGUGAAACUCAAAGGAAUUGACGGGGACCCGCACAAGCGGUGGAGUAUGUGGUUUAAUUCGAUGCAACGCGAAGAACCUUACCAAGGCUUGACAUCCUGCGAAUCUUGGAGAAAUCUGAGAGUGCCUAAGGGAACGCAGAGACAGGUGGUGCAUGGCUGUCGUCAGCUCGUGUCGUGAGAUGUUGGGUUAAGUCCCGCAACGAGCGCAACCCUCGUCCUUAGUUGCCAGCAUUAAGUUGGGGACUCUAGGGAGACCGCCGGGGAGAACUCGGAGGAAGGUGGGGAUGACGUCAAGUCAGCAUGCCCCUUACGUCUUGGGCUACACACGUACUACAAUGGUUGGGACAAAGGGGAGCGAAACCGCGAGGUGGAGCGAAUCUCAUCAAACCCAGCCACAGUUCAGAUUGCAGGCUGAAACUCGCCUGCAUGAAGGAGGAAUCGCUAGUAAUCGCAGGUCAGCAUACUGCGGUGAAUCCGUUCCCGGGUCUUGUACACACCGCCCGUCACACCAUGGAAGUUGGUCACGCCCGAAGUCGUUAUUCUAACCCCAAGUGAAGGAGACGCCGA